AAAACUUUUAUUUUAUUCUGAUUGUGUAAAGUGUAGUAUCUGUUCUUAUCAGCUUAAUAUCUGAUACGCCCCGCAUGCGGGGCCAGUAUAUUAAACUUAUUUUUGGAAAUUGAUGGAGGGUUUAAGGGGCUUGCUCCACCUCCGUCGCGGGUUGGCCCGGUAUUGCAGUACCGCCGGGAUCGGCCCAUUUUAU
RNAcentral lists this small nuclear RNA (193 nucleotides) under Leptinotarsa decemlineata (Colorado potato beetle). RNAcentral describes it as "U2 spliceosomal RNA". It matches the Rfam family "U2 spliceosomal RNA". From Rfam's summary of the family: U2 is a small nuclear RNA (snRNA) component of the spliceosome (involved in pre-mRNA splicing). The record is from RNAcentral. Lineage: Eukaryota; Metazoa; Arthropoda; Insecta; Coleoptera; Chrysomelidae.